CCUACGGGUGGCAGCAGUGGGGGAUAGUGCACAAUGGGGGAAACCCUGAUGCAGCGACGCCGCGUGUAGGAAGACGGUCCUCUGGAUUGUAAACUACUGUCCCCAGGGACGAAGAUGACGGGACCGGGGGAGGAAGCGCCGGCUAACUAGGUGCCAGCAGCCGCGGGAAUACGGCGGGAGCGAGGGUUGUCCGGAAGUACGGGGGGUAACGGGAGCGGAGGCGGGGAGGCAAGGUGGGUGGUAAAUCAACCGGCUCCACUGGUGGUCGCACUCAAAACUGCAGCUCUUGAGUGCAGUAGCGGCAGGCGGCAUUCCUCUUGUAGCGGUUACAUGCGUCGAUAUUAGGCG
This 348-nucleotide ribosomal RNA is filed under the name uncultured bacterium. RNAcentral describes it as "partial 16S ribosomal RNA". It matches the Rfam family "Bacterial small subunit ribosomal RNA", at positions 338 to 703 of the family's 1533-position model. The record is from RNAcentral.